Molecule: ribosomal RNA, 635 nt
Filed under: uncultured bacterium
Lineage: Bacteria
Description: bacterial SSU rRNA
Rfam family: Bacterial small subunit ribosomal RNA
Source: RNAcentral
CAUUAGAUAGUUGGCGGGGUAAUGGCCCACCAAGUCCGCGAUGGGUAGCUGGUCUGAGAGGAUGAUCAGCCACACUGGAACUGAAACACGGUCCAGACUCCUACGGGAGGCAGCAGUAGGGAAUUUUGCGCAAUGGACGAAAUGUCUGACGCAGCGACGCCGCGUGUGGGAUGAAGGGUUUCGGCUCGUAAACCACUGUCAGAUGGGAAGAUGGGGUAACAAACUAAUAAUUUGUUAUCUUGACUGUACCAUCAGAGGAAGCACCGGCUAACUACGUGCCAGCAGCCGCGGUAAUACGUAGGGUGCUAGCGUUACUCGGAAUCAUUGGGCGUAAAGGGUGUGUAGGUGGAUUAGUAAGUCAGAUGUGAAAGCCUUGGGCUCACCCCAAGAAGUGCAUUUGAUACUGCUAUUCUAGAGUUCGGGAGAGGGAGGCAGAAUUCCAGGUGUAGAGGUGAAAUCCGUAGAUACCUGGAGGAAUACCGGAGGCGAAGGCGGCCUCCUGGACCGAUACUGACACUGAGACACGAAAGCGUGGGUAGCAAACAGGAUUAGAUACCCUGGUAGUCCACGCCCUAAACGAUGGUUACUAGAUGAGGUGGGAUUUGACCCCUGCCGUAUCGAAGCUAACGCGAUAA